Salvia splendens (bonfire salvia) is the source of this 1434-nucleotide long non-coding RNA. RefSeq lists it as uncharacterized. Lineage: Eukaryota; Viridiplantae; Streptophyta; Magnoliopsida; Lamiales; Lamiaceae. The record is from RefSeq and is a predicted model, not a curated record. The transcript has 4 exons.
AGGAUAGAUGCCGGGUGACGUUGAUGCCCACUCUCCUACUUACCUAAUUAUAGAGGCGAUAAUUGAACUAUAUCGGCUGAUUCAUAUGUUUCUAAUCAAACUACUUGUCAUCGAGAGACGGAGGAAAAGGAAACGAAAGUGUAGCACAUUAAUUCUUCGGUAUUCAAUGGUUGAUAGAAUGCCUAACCAAGUAGAACACAUGAAUCGAUUAGUGGGUGUUACUGAUAUUGAUUGCAUGUCAAACUUUAGAAUGAACAGAAAUACAUUUGGUAAGUCAUGUUCAUUGCUACGCCAAGUAGGGGUGCUACAUGAUGGAAGAUAUGUAAAUGUGGAAGAGCAGGUAGCCAUUUUCUUAGCCAUUAUUGCUCAUCACAAAAAAAUAGGAUCGUUCGUUUUGAUUUUUUGAGGUCUGGACAAACUGUAUCACAAUAUGUCCAUAAAGUUUUGCACUCUAUUUUGAAAUUGCAUGAUAUUUUGUUGGUAAAACCGAAUCCGAUACAGGCAGAUUGCACAGACUAACGGUGGGAGCGGUUUAAGGAUUGCCUUGGUGCAUUGGAUGGAACCUACAUUAAUGUACUUGUCAGUAAUGAGAACAAGCCGAGAUACAGGACACGGAAGGGCCAUAUUGCUACCAAUACGUUGGCAGUUUGUGAUACAAAUUUAAAGUUUACAUAUAUUUUACCCGGGUGGGAGGGAUCAGCCGCAGACUCAAGGGUAUUAAGGGACGCGAUCAACAGAGAGGAUGGCCUUAGAGUACCGAGAGGAAACUAUUAUUUGUGUGAUGGUGGAUACGCCAAUUCCGAAGGCUUCCUAGCACCAUACAAGGGAGUGAGAUACCAUUUGAAAGAAUGGGGUCAUGAGAAUCAGAGACCUCAAAAUGCGCGUGAAUUGUUCAACAUGAGGCAUUCAAGAGCACGCAACGUUAUUGAGCGUGCCUUCGGUAUAAUGAAGAUGUGAUGGGGAAUAUUAAGGUCAGUGAGUUAUUAUCCGAUAAAGGUUCAAAAUCGAAUUAUCAUGGCGUGUUUCCUAUUACAUAAUUUUAUUCGUAAUGAGAUGGAGAUAGAUCCCAUUGAAGAACAAAUAGAAACAGAAAUGCCUCACUUGGACUACUAGGACGAUGGCAGGCAUGCGGAUUUUGUAGAUAUCGUUGAAUCAACUGUGGAAUGGAAUCAGAAGCGCGAUGAAAUUGCACAAGCAAUGUGGCUAAAUUAUAAUGAAGGCGGGAUGUGAAGACUACCACAAGAAUGGCCAAAGUACCAGAGCUUGGUUUCUAUUUUAUAGUUGAAAUGUCAUGGUUGUAGGUUUCUAGUACCAUAGCUUGACUCUUUUGUGUUUUUGUCACGACCGCCCAUACUAGGGGUGUUACAAACGAGGCGAUCGUGACCAAGGGAUAAAUAUUAAGAAUAGCAUUUAAGGAUAACAGUUCAUAAGAAA